This 71-nucleotide transfer RNA is filed under the name Loxodonta africana (African savanna elephant). It matches the Rfam family "tRNA". Rfam says of the family: Transfer RNA (tRNA) molecules are approximately 80 nucleotides in length. Their secondary structure includes four short double-helical elements and three loops (D, anti-codon, and T loops). The record is from Rfam by way of RNAcentral. Lineage: Eukaryota; Metazoa; Chordata; Mammalia; Proboscidea; Elephantidae.
GCAGUGGUGGUUCAGUGGUAAGGCUCUGGCCUUCCAUGUGGGAGACCCAGGUUCGAUCCCUGGCCGAUGUG